UCCCAGGUGACUCAGUGGUAAAGAAUCUGCCUGCCAAGCAGGAGACACAGAAGACUUAGGUUCAAUCCCUGAUUGGGAU
This 79-nucleotide transfer RNA is filed under the name Bos taurus (domestic cattle). It matches the Rfam family "tRNA". From Rfam's summary of the family: Transfer RNA (tRNA) molecules are approximately 80 nucleotides in length. Their secondary structure includes four short double-helical elements and three loops (D, anti-codon, and T loops). Further hydrogen bonds mediate the characteristic L-shaped molecular structure. tRNAs have two regions of fundamental functional importance: the anti-codon, which is responsible for specific mRNA codon recognition, and the 3' end, to which the tRNAs corresponding amino acid is attached (by aminoacyl-tRNA synthetases). tRNAs cope with the degeneracy of the genetic code in two manners: having more than one tRNA (with a specific anti-codon) for a particular amino acid; and 'wobble' base-pairing, i.e. permitting non-standard base-pairing at the 3rd anti-codon position. The record is from Rfam by way of RNAcentral. Lineage: Eukaryota; Metazoa; Chordata; Mammalia; Artiodactyla; Bovidae. RNAcentral also lists the same sequence under 5 other names.